This 396-nucleotide ribosomal RNA is filed under the name uncultured bacterium. Its description in RNAcentral is "bacterial SSU rRNA". It matches the Rfam family "Bacterial small subunit ribosomal RNA", at positions 362 to 775 of the family's 1533-position model. The record is from RNAcentral.
UAUUGCACAAUGGGGGAAACCCUGAUGCAGCGACGCCGCGUGAGUGAAGAAGUACUUCGGGAUGUAAAGCUCUAUCAGCAGGGAAGAAAAUGACCGUACCUGAUUAAGAAGCCCCGGUUAACUACGUGCCAGCAGCCGCGGUAAUACGUAGGGGGCAAGCGUUAUCCGGAUUUACUGGGUGUAAAGGGAGCGUAGACGGCAGCACAAGUCUGGAGUGAAAUGCCGGGGCUUAACCCCGGAACUGCUUUGGGAACUGUGCAGCUAGAGUGCAGGAGAGGUAAGUGGAAUUCCUAGUGUAGCGGUGAAAUGCGUAGAUAUUAGGAGGAACACCAGUGGCGAAGGCGGCUUACCGGACUGUAACUGACGUUGAGGCUCGAAGGCGUGGGGAGCAAACAG